CAGUAGCCACGGGAAUACGUAGGUGGCAAGCGUUGUCCGGAAUUAUUGGGCGUAAAGCGCGCGCAGGCGGAUAGGUCAGUCUGUCUUAAAAGUUCGGGGCUUAACCCCGUGAUGGGAUGGAAACUGCCAAUCUAGAGUAUCGGAGAGGAAAGUGGAAUUCCUAGUGUAGCGGUGAAAUGCGUAGAUAUUAGGAAGAACACCAGUGGCGAAGGCGACUUUCUGGACGAAAACUGACGCUGAGGCGCGAAAGCGUGGGUAGCAAACAGGAUUAGAUACCCCUGUAGUCCCUGUCUCUUAUACA
Molecule: ribosomal RNA, 301 nt
Filed under: uncultured bacterium
Lineage: Bacteria
Description: partial 16S ribosomal RNA
Rfam family: Bacterial small subunit ribosomal RNA
Source: RNAcentral